UCUAUUUGGCAUCUCAGUUCUGCAAAAUCCUUCAGAUGAGUAGUCCAUGUGUGAACCUAUGAUAUCCUUGGAACUCUGUGGCUGGUUGUUUUCACUUGACUGACUGUGAAUCUGUGUGGAAGGGAGCCCUCAUCUAAGCAUCUGCCCUGGAACCUCCAGGUUCAUACUCAGGGCCGGCCAUGGAGAACCGUAGAGAAGGUCUUCAACUACAGAGCUUCAGUCAAGUCUAUUGCCAAGACCUCUCUACCCUUCCAGCAAUAGAGGCCACAAACUCAAGCUAGCAAGCCGAGCUAGUCAUGACCCAGCCAAGAGAGUUGCCAAGACCAAGAGCCCCUUCCCUGAGAACUAGUUGGUUCCUGGCCACCUUGGCCCAGGGACCCCAAACCCAAGAGCUCCAGCUCCCACAGGACCCCAGAUUGUGUUCUCUCCAUCCCCAGAGUGGAGUCCUGCAGCUUCUCAGUCAGGCGUCCGCCCGGUGCUGGCCUGGAGUGAACCCGGUCAAAUUCCUGUGUCCCUGCCUCCCUGAGCUGCAGCCCAGUCCCUUGGGGCAACAGACACCACGGGACACACAAGUCAACCCAA
Grammomys surdaster is the source of this 582-nucleotide long non-coding RNA. RefSeq lists it as uncharacterized. The transcript has 3 exons. NCBI's taxonomy places the organism in Eukaryota, Metazoa, Chordata, Mammalia, Rodentia, Muridae. The record is from RefSeq and is a predicted model, not a curated record.